UACCUAAUGAAUAAAAAUAAAUCAUUAAAAUAUGGUGGUAUAAGAUAAUGGAAAAGAAAAAUUGUCAAUUGUUAGUUCUGUUGGGGUCCUUAAAUAGGCCAGAAAUGGCCCCCUCUUCCCAAUCAAGCAUUAAAUAAAAUCAAGAAAACAAAGAAAUGGCAUAUGGAGGACGAAGUACCACCUUCAUUACCAACAAAGGCUGAGCUACAGCUUAAUAUGAAAAAUGGACUAAAUCCCAGAUUUAGAUGAUUCACCCCUCCCCAUCACAGCACAACUAACUGGGCUAGAUGAGAGUCACAGCACGAAGGAAUGGGCAAAUUACCACAGGCCCUCACCCCCCAAGAGGAAGAAAUAUUUGAUGGAAACCCAGCAUUUUGUUUCUCUACAACUACAGUGUCCAACACAGAAGCCACAACCAUCUGGGGUUGUUUAAACUUAAUGAAAUUAGUAAAAAUUUAAAAACUAAAAAUUAGUUCCACAGAUGCACUUGCCACAUUUUAUGUGCUCAGUAGCUGGCUGUGACUAAUAACUACCAUACCAAACAGCACAGAAUAUAGUACAUUUCCAUCACUGUAGGAAGUUUUAUUGAACAGCCUGGUCUACCAUAUGGGUUGUCUUAAAUAUUCAUACCAACUUUACAACAAAAUGAGCUUUUGAUAAUAGUAAAUUUGUUCACUAGGGAAAAUUUGGGGGGGAAAGGGGGGGCAAUAAAAAUCACCCAUAAAUAACCACAUUUUGGUGUGUUUAUAUUCAUUCUUUUUCCUUAAAAUGUAGUAGUCCCACCUUAUCCACAGGAGAUAUGUUCCAACACCCCCAGUGGAUGUCUAAAACCCUAGAUAGUACUGAACCUACAUGUACUGUUUAUUCCUAUACAUACAUACCUAUAAUAAAGUUUAAUUUAUAAAUCAGGUACAGUAAGAGAUCAAUAACUAAUAAUAAAAAAGCAAUUCUAACAAUAUACUGUAAUAAAAGUUAUGUGACUUGAACACAAGCACUGUGAUACCUUGACAGUUGAUCUGAUAACUGAGAUGGUCACUAAGUGACUAACAGGAGGGUAGUAUCUACAGUGUGGACAUGCCAGACAAAGGGAAGAUUCAUAUCAUAUGGAGCAGGAGGAUGAGAGAUUUUAUAACUACUCAAAGGAGAGUAACUGAAAACUCAUGACUUGUUUAAUUCUGGAAAUUUUCAUUUAAUAUUUUCAGAUUGCAGUUGACCACAGAUAACUGAAACCACAGAAAGCAAAACCACGGAUAAGAGAGGACAACUAUAUGCACGUGUAUCUGUACAUAUACAUACAUGCCACUUUCCAUAUCAUUAAAUACCUGAACACAUUGUUUUUAUAUGUUCUUAUAUGUUUUUUAAAAACAUGAUAGUUAUGCAACACUGGACCUUACUGACAUACCUUACUGUAUCUUGCUUUUCUUCUACCAUUUGACAUUUAGAUUGUUUCCAUGUUUUGCUCUAAUAAUAAUUUGCUAUAACAAAUCUGUCCCAGUGAGCCUUAGAAUAAAUUCUGAGACAUGUUUAAAA
Myotis daubentonii (Daubenton's bat) is the source of this 1530-nucleotide long non-coding RNA. RefSeq lists it as uncharacterized. The record is from RefSeq and is a predicted model, not a curated record. NCBI's taxonomy places the organism in Eukaryota, Metazoa, Chordata, Mammalia, Chiroptera, Vespertilionidae. The transcript is spliced from 2 exons.